ACACUGCUGAGGAGUCCCACAAUAGGACGAAAAGGCCAUCCAGUGC
Schistosoma haematobium is the source of this 46-nucleotide non-coding RNA. The record is from Rfam. NCBI's taxonomy places the organism in Eukaryota, Metazoa, Platyhelminthes, Trematoda, Strigeidida, Schistosomatidae.